Molecule: microRNA precursor, 100 nt
Filed under: Nomascus leucogenys (northern white-cheeked gibbon)
Lineage: Eukaryota; Metazoa; Chordata; Mammalia; Primates; Hylobatidae
Description: miRNA (ENSNLEG00000028769.1)
Source: RNAcentral
GAGGUGGGAGGAUCACCUGAGUCUGGGAGGUCGAGGCUGCUGUGAGCUGUGAUCAUGCCACUGCACUCCAGCCUGAGUGACAGAGUGAGACCCUGUCUCA